RNAcentral lists this ribosomal RNA (526 nucleotides) under uncultured Alphaproteobacteria bacterium. RNAcentral describes it as "bacterial SSU rRNA". It matches the Rfam family "Bacterial small subunit ribosomal RNA", at positions 352 to 896 of the family's 1533-position model. The record is from RNAcentral. Lineage: Bacteria; Pseudomonadati; Pseudomonadota; Alphaproteobacteria.
CAGUGGGGAAUCUUAGACAAUGGGGGAAACCCUGAUCUAGCCAUGCCGCGUGAGCGAAGAAGGCCUUAGGGUUGUAAAGCUCUUUCAGCUGGGAGGAUAAUGACGGUACCAGCAGAAGAAGCCCCGGCUAACUCCGUGCCAGCAGCCGCGGUAAUACGGAGGGGGCUAGCGUUGUUCGGAAUUACUGGGCGUAAAGCGCGCGUAGGCGGACUAGUCAGUCAGGGGUGAAAUCCCGGGGCUCAACCCCGGAACUGCCUUUGAUACUGCUAGUCUAGAGUUCGAGAGAGGUGAGUGGAAUUCCGAGUGUAGAGGUGAAAUUCGUAGAUAUUCGGAGGAACACCAGUGGCGAAGGCGGCUCACUGGCUCGAUACUGACGCUGAGGUGCGAAAGUGUGGGGAGCAAACAGGAUUAGAUACCCUGGUAGUCCACACCGUAAACGAUGAAUGCCAGUCGUCGGGUAGCAUGCUAUUCGGUGACACACCUAACGGAUUAAGCAUUCCGCCUGGGGAGUACGGUCGCAAGAUUA